CCUACGUGUGGCAGCAGUGGGGAAUAUUGGACAAUGGGGGGAACCCUGAUCCAGCGACGCCGCGUGAGUGAAGAAGUAUUUCGGUAUGUAAAGCUCUAUCAGCAGGGAAGAAAAUGACGGUACCUGACUAAGAAGCCCCGGCUAACUACGUGCCAGCAGCCGCGGUAAUACGUAGGGGGCAAGCGUUAUCCGGAUUUACUGGGUGUAAAGGGAGCGUAGGCGGCUGUGCAAGCAAGAUGUGAAAGCCCGGGGCUCAACCCCGGGACUGCAUUUGGAACUGUGUGGCUGGAGUGUCGGAGAGGCAGGCGGAAUUCCUAGUGUAGCGGUGAAAUGCGUAGAUAUUAGGAGGAACACCAGUGGCGAAGGCGGCCUGCUGGACGAUGACUGACGUUGAGGCUCGAAGGCGUGGGGAGCGAACAGGAUUAGAUACCCUAGUAGUC
RNAcentral lists this ribosomal RNA (440 nucleotides) under uncultured bacterium. RNAcentral's name for it is "partial 16S ribosomal RNA". It matches the Rfam family "Bacterial small subunit ribosomal RNA", at positions 338 to 795 of the family's 1533-position model. The record is from RNAcentral.